This 262-nucleotide ribosomal RNA is filed under the name uncultured bacterium. RNAcentral's name for it is "partial 16S ribosomal RNA". The record is from RNAcentral.
CUGCUGCCUCCCGUAGGAGUUUGGGCCGUGUCUCAGUCCCAAUGUGGCCGUUCACCCUCUCAGGCCGGCUACUGAUCGUUGCCUUGGUAGGCUUUUACCCCACCAACUAGCUAAUCAGACGCGGAACCAUCGUAUACCACCUCAGUUUUUCACACUGCUUCAUGCGAAACUGUGCGCUUAUGCGGUAUUAGCACCUAUUUCUAAGUGUUAUCCCCCAGUAUACGGCAGGUUUUCCACGCGUUACUCACCCGUCCGUCACUAA